This 396-nucleotide ribosomal RNA is filed under the name uncultured bacterium. RNAcentral's name for it is "partial 16S ribosomal RNA". It matches the Rfam family "Bacterial small subunit ribosomal RNA", at positions 523 to 918 of the family's 1533-position model. The record is from RNAcentral.
AUACGUAGGGGGCAAGCGUUAUCCGGAUUUACUGGGUGUAAAGGGAGCGCAGACGGCGAUGCAAGUCUGAAGUGAAAUGCCGCAGCUCAACUGCGGAAUUGCUUUGGAAACUGUGUGGCUAGAGUAUCGGAGGGGUAAGCGGAAUUCCUAGUGUAGCGGUGAAAUGCGUAGAUAUUAGGAAGAACACCGGUGGCGAAGGCGGCUUACUGGACAAUAACUGACGUUGAGGCUCGAAAGCGUGGGGAGCAAACGAGAUUAGAUGCCCUGGUAGUCCACGCCGUAAACGAUGAAUACUAGGUGUCGGCAUCUAAGAGAUGUCGGUGCCGCCGCUAACGCAUUAAGUAUUCCACCUGGGGAGUACGUUCGCAAGAAUGAAACUCAAAGGAAUUGACGGGG